AGCAACAUGGAUAAAUUUUUCACGAUCGUGUUUAAAAAAUAUUCCACAAUUUAUAAAACUGAUCUUAUUAAUCCUGCCUGCGGAUCUAAAAUGUAAAAUAGACAAGAAGUACAAAAACUUUAAUAGAGAAUACCGGGUAUUAAAAUAUAAUAAAUUUUAUCAUGCCUUAAUCCAAAGUCAUAAUAAUAAGAAAAAGGAAAGAGUAGAAUAUGCUUAUAUACACAUUGCUGGUGUAAUGUUUAAAUAUCUUUCAAAAGAUCAAGCCACAAUAUUAGUUUAUAACAUUAUCGUUGUCGCACUUUUCAGGUUUCUAUGAGCAAAAUACCCGAAGACGUCAAAUUGCGAAUAUAAAUAGGCCAACCGAGCAAGGAGAAAUAGGCACAAUUUACGAUGAUCCCAACAACGAAUGUAGAAACAAUCAAUGGAAAAGAGUUUUGUUAUUGGUUGUUGCUAUUACGGUACACAAUAUUCCAGAAGGUCUUGCAGUUGGAGUAGGAUUCGCAGCAGUAGGUAACAGUGCAUCAGCAACUUUUGAAAAUGCAAGGUAAGCAACGCACGCUUCUACCGUCUUCUAGAAAAUAUUCGCGAACAGAUUCUAAUUUAAAUAUUAUUCCACAUAAAUAACGCAUUAAGAUUUCAAACAUCGUCGAGUGAAUAUGUUUUUUUUU
Apis florea (little honeybee) is the source of this 668-nucleotide long non-coding RNA. Lineage: Eukaryota; Metazoa; Arthropoda; Insecta; Hymenoptera; Apidae. The record is from RefSeq and is a predicted model, not a curated record.